RNAcentral lists this ribosomal RNA (863 nucleotides) under Glomus sp. clB. RNAcentral describes it as "SSU rRNA". It matches the Rfam family "Eukaryotic small subunit ribosomal RNA", at positions 360 to 1227 of the family's 1831-position model. The record is from RNAcentral. Lineage: Eukaryota; Fungi; Glomeromycota; Glomeromycetes; Glomerales; Glomeraceae.
CAACGGGGAAUUAGGGUUCGAUUCCGGAGAGGGAGCCUGAGAAACGGCUACCACAUCCAAGGAAGGCAGCAGGCGCGCAAAUUACCCAAUCCCGACACGGGGAGGUAGUGACAAUAAAUAACAAUACGGGGCCCUCUCGGGUCUUGUAAUUGGAAUGAGUACAAUUUAAAUUCCUUAACGAGGAACAAUUGGAGGGCAAGUCUGGUGCCAGCAGCCGCGGUAAUUCCAGCUCCAAUAGCGUAUAUUAAAGUUGUUGCAGUUAAAAAGCUCGUAGUUGAAUUUCGGGUUUGACAGAUCGGUCCGCCUCUAAGGGGUAUGAACUGGUGUAGUCAAUUUCUCACCUUCUGGAGAACCGCGAUGCCCUUAAUUGGGUGUCAUGGGGAACCAGGACUUUUACUUUGAAAAAAUUAGAGUGUUUAAAGCAGGCAUUCGCUUGAAUACAUUAGCAUGGAAUAAUAGAAUAGGACUUUGGUUCUAUUUUGUUGGUUUCUAGGACCGAAGUAAUGAUUAAUAGGGAUAGUUGGGGGCAUUAGUAUUUAAUUGUCAGAGGUGAAAUUCUUGGAUUUAUUAAAGACUAACUUCUGCGAAAGCAUUUGCCAAGGAUGUUUUCAUUAAUCAAGAACGAAAGUUAGGGGAUCGAAGACGAUCAGAUACCGUCGUAGUCUUAACCAUAAACUAUGCCGACUAGGGAUCAGGCAAGGAUAUUUUGACUUGUUUGGCACCUUAUGAGAAAUCAAAGUUUUUGGGUUCCGGGGGGAGUAUGGUCGCAAGGCUGAAACUUAAAGGAAUUGACGGAAGGGCACCACCAGGAGUGGAGCCUGCGGCUUAAUUUGACUCAACACGGGGAAACUCACCACGUCCAG